RNAcentral lists this ribosomal RNA (334 nucleotides) under Brucella anthropi. Its description in RNAcentral is "bacterial SSU rRNA". It matches the Rfam family "Bacterial small subunit ribosomal RNA", at positions 94 to 492 of the family's 1533-position model. The record is from RNAcentral. Lineage: Bacteria; Pseudomonadati; Pseudomonadota; Alphaproteobacteria; Hyphomicrobiales; Brucellaceae.
GAGGGCAGACGGGUGAGUAACCGUGGGAACGUCCUUUUGUCGGAAUACUCGGAAACGUGUGUAAUACCGAUGUGCCCUUCGGGGGAAAGAUUUAUCGCAAGACGGCCCGCGUGAUUAGCUAGUUGGUGAGGUAAGGCUCACCAAGGCGACGAUCUAGCUGGUCUGAGAGGAUGACAGCCACACUGGGACUGAGACACGGCCCAGACUCCUACGGGAGGCAGCAGUGGGGAAUUUGCAAUGGGCGAAGCCUGACAGCCAUGCCGCGUGAUGAUGAAGGCCUAGGUUGUAAACUCUUUUCACCCGGUGAGAUAAUGACGGUACCGGAGAAGAAGCA